Molecule: long non-coding RNA, 3517 nt
Organism: Podarcis raffonei (Aeolian wall lizard)
Lineage: Eukaryota; Metazoa; Chordata; Lepidosauria; Squamata; Lacertidae
Exons: 5
Source: RefSeq, a predicted model, not a curated record
GCUACUUCUAAAUAACACCUGCUACUCAAGUUGCCUUAGAAAGCUGACGGCACCUGUUUCAUCUACCUCUCCACAUGACAGCUGACAGGGGCCUGGAUUUGAUAGUGGAUUUGAAAGUGGUUCAUUCUUCUAAAACCAUCUUGGCAAGAAUACAGCCUAUAGUCUAGCAAGUAGUCCUUUAUUUUCAGGUGGAAUUUUCAGUUUUGAUUCUGGUUUGCUCUCAAGUCAGUCCAUCAAACAUUCCCCCUGUGAAACUGCUCCAAUGUCGUAUGCAAUCCUAAUCCUUCUGGGCCUCCUACUUCAGCUUCCCACAUGCUCUGCUACCAGUAAAGGGGAAUGGGAGUUGGCGUGGCAUACAGAUGAAAAAUAGACCUUGAUCAGAGACAGAUAUGUUGAAAUGGAAAGGGAGAAAAGGUCUGUUUAUUUGUCUUUACAAACAUUGCUUGCGGGACUGCUCUUCUUCCGCUCUGUGUAUGCAGGUCUCAUUAGGAGAAUUUUGCAGCAGGGAAGGAAGGUAAUUGCAUAAAUUUCAGUUUUCCAGGAACAGACUCUCAGCUCUAAUGGAAUCAUGGUUUCGAUGCACUUUCCUCAGCUUUCUGACUCAAUGAGAAAAAGCAGUGACUAGACUGGAGUGUUUGGCAUCACCGGCACAUCACUCAUGAGCCACAGAACUGCUCUUUGUACCCAAAUCAUAUUGCUUGCCCUUCUUGGAAUCUGCCAUUUCUUCCUUCUUUAGAGGAGACAGUCUGUACUUCCACACUGCUACUGUUAUUACAGGUUUGCAGUGUCCGUCUGAAUGAUAUUUGUGGGUACCUUCCAGCUAUGCCUUGAGGCUUCCCUGGAAACCUGAUGUGGAGGCAAGAUCUGUUAGAGUCUAUUAAUGAUGUGUGCUCUUCCAUCCAGUGCUGACAUUAUACAGCAUUGGGUCUAGCAUAGAGCAAAACAGCCUUCUGUGUUUCCAGCUUCCAGAAUCAGCCAAAACUUAACGAACAGAAAGCUCCCCUUGGCCUAUUGUUCCACAUCCUAGAUGGGAAAAGGCCCACCAAUUUGUCUCAACAGAACUCAUUCUCUAAUAACUGGUAUCUAUAAAUUUUACAUAAUACACAACUGUGUAUUGUACAUCAUAUUAUAUACCAUACGACUAUUAAUUACGUAUUAUCAACCUAUUUAUUUGAUUUAAGAAUGUUAUAUCUAUCUCAUGCAUUAUUGUAAGCAUUCAUGAAUAUCCACUAAUCACUACCCUCCAUAAUCUUACAUUCAUAACAACAACAAUAAUAAUUAAUAUUAUUUAUUUAUACCCUGCCCAUCUGGCUGGGUUUCCACUGAUGAGCCAUAAUACAAUGCUUUCCACCAGAGAACUACAAGUGAAAAACCUGAAACUCAAAGGGUGUCCCAUAUCGACCUAGAGGAGAGCGUCCUAUAAUCAAUACCCCCUGUUCCACCCAGCCCCCACUAGCACCACAUCAGCCUAUAUACUGCCAUUGACAGUCUACCCCAUAAGGACACAAUAGUAGACACAAUAGCCCCACUGCUAAUACGUCAGGUCAAGGUGUAGCAAAUGUGAGGGAAGAGAUUGGCUACAUUUUUAAUUAUAAAAAACACGAAAAGCACUAUGAAACCCUGCAUGAAGGCAAAUUUAGUAGUAAAAUAGAUAAAGAGUAUCUCUUUUAACAAUGCUCUGGGAUGCAUGCGCACCACUCGUCACCCUCCUCAACAACCAAAUUCAACCUUUAUAAACUAAAAGUAGUAAAACAGAGGAGGUAAGUUGUAACAUGGUAAGCGUACCAAAAGGUGUGCUUGGACUAACAAAAAGUAGCUUAUUUAAAGCACCCAGCUUACAACUAGGAGAUGUCGCACAACCACAACUUUUUUGAGCCCCAAAAUAAGCCGACUAAACCCCUACAAAAUCACCUAACUAUACAUUAAACCAAACCAUUUACCUAGGUUAGUAAAGUAAAUGAGAUUAAGCACCACCACCCAGCCUUAUAAGUGCCGCAAUGGAGCAAUGAAAGAAUAAUGAAAAACUUUAAGCAACACGUAGCAAAGAUAAACCGCUGUACCUCCUGCAUCAUGGUCUAGCAAAACACUAUCAGACAAAGAGAACCUUUAGCCUGACCUCCCGAAACCAAGCGAGCUAUUUUUAGGCAGCACUAAAUCAGAGUGCACCCGUCCCUGUAGCAAAAGGGUGGGAAGGCCUAUAAAGAGGGGUAAAAAACCAAUCGAGUUUGGUGAUAGCUGGCUACUCAACAAAAGAAUUUAAGUUCAACUUUAGGCAUAACAUGAACCCACCACUAAAAUUCCAUUUCUAAACCUAAAGAGAAUUAAUGGGGGUACAGCCCCAUUGAAGCAGAAUACAGCCCGAACGGAGACCCUUUUACCCCGUUCCCCUACCAUAGGCUUCUAAGCAGCCACCAAAAUAAACCACGUCAUAGCUGAACCAAAGCAAAUCCCAACAAUCCAACCACCCUCCCAACCCAUACCUUGAGUUAUUCUAUAAUAAUAUAGAAGCACCAAUGCUAAAACUAGUACAUUGAAACAACUCUAUUCGCACUCCUUUAAAUCAGAAUAGAAAAAAAUGCAUUGACAGUCAUUUAUUAUCUUCCCAAGGCAUCACAGUAGCUGCUCAUAUACAGUGAAGUAAAUUUGUGGUGUAAAAUCAUCCUAUAGAAUAAGACAUGGCUGUUUUUAUUACACACACACCUGCUGUAAAAUCACUGCCACUAUAGCCUCAAGAAUUGACAUCUUUGGUUUGAUUAGGAUCCUAGAUGGCUGGCUCAUGGCAGAUUGUCUUGCUAAAUGGAGACAAUCUUUGCACUCUGAUCUUUUUCAGAGCAUCCCUAUGCCCACCUAUUCAGAAUUCAGUGGGACUUAACAGAUAAAUGAAAUAACUUAACAGAUAAAAGAAAUUGAAUUGCACUCUUAAAAUAGUUUAAAUGCACAUCAGCAUAAAGGAAAAAGCAACCUUUUGGAGCUGGUUGCUCCUGUUAGUAAUGUGGGUUUUUGAUGCCUAAUGAAAUGAAUGACUUGUAAGGCAAGCCUGCCAGUUGCCUUUAUAAUUUUGGAAAUAAUAAAUAAAGGAUCUACCCAUGGCAAUUUAAACUUGAUGUGAGUAAUGAACUCAAACUUUAAGGUCAGCGGCUGAGGGAUGUGGGGUAGGGAUUUAGCAUCACUUGUUUCUAUUUUAAAGGUUAUUUCAAGUUUUUCCCCCUCCCUAAGGGAAAGAAACGCAGAGAAGCUGGUCCUGUCUGGAACAUCAGGAGUGAGACAUUUGUACAUACGGACUGUCAGUAUAAUUGUCAAGCUAAAUGAAGCUGUCCCUGGACUCUGACAGUCUUGUUAGAAUGGGCUCCAGAAAAGCACCAUGAGCAGACAGCCUGGUGAAAUAAAUAUGAACAGGGAAUGGAUACUGGGUGAGAGUUGUUUCUAAAUAGGCUUUGGCUGUAAAUAAUAUGUGCAGAAUGGCUUACCCCUUUCCCAGGUGGGCGGCAGUUGUGGCCCCUCAUGUUUGGCAACCGUU